AGGAGUUACCCACACCAAUUGUCGUCGACCUUGAGGCCCCCAAGUUAAUAAAACCCUGCACGGAAGACUCUAAAGGAACUGAGACCCUAAAGAAUCUAGUUCUGCAAUUCCUGCAAGAGUAAGUUCCCCUGAGACCUUAAGGAAGGGGAGGCCUGGGACAGUGUGGACUAC
This 171-nucleotide long non-coding RNA is filed under the name Ictidomys tridecemlineatus (thirteen-lined ground squirrel). Its description in RNAcentral is "lncRNA (ENSSTOG00000030382.1)". Lineage: Eukaryota; Metazoa; Chordata; Mammalia; Rodentia; Sciuridae. The record is from RNAcentral.